RNAcentral lists this ribosomal RNA (320 nucleotides) under uncultured bacterium. RNAcentral's name for it is "bacterial SSU rRNA". It matches the Rfam family "Bacterial small subunit ribosomal RNA", at positions 28 to 369 of the family's 1533-position model. The record is from RNAcentral.
GACGAACGCUGGCGGCGUGCCUAACACAUGCAAGUCGAGGGGUGAUUUCGGUCAUCACUGGCGCACGGGUGAGUAACGCGUAGAUCAUCUGCCCCUAUCACUGACAUAAACAGUUCUAACGGACUGCUAAUAUCAGAUGAGGUGAACAAUCAUCAAAGUUUCGACGGAUAGGGAUGAGUCUGCGUCUGAUUAGGUAGUUGGUGAGGUUAACGGCUCACCUAAGCCGACGAUCAGUAACUGGUCUGAGAGGACGAACAGUCACACUGGAACUGAGACACGGUCCAGACUCCUACGGGAGGCAGCAGUGAGGAAUAUUGCAC